AUUUAAAACUCUUACUGCCAUUGAUUCUCUUCGUCUUGUUUUAUAAACAAUUUCUGUAGUGGAACCUCUCGACGAACCUGGUACACUUGUUUCCGUUACAUGAACACUGUACAUUGUUUAUUGUUUUUGUACUUAUAGAGUGAAUACUGGACCAUUAUUUAAAACAGUUAUUCGGAGGAGUGUUUGUAAAUAAAAUUCGCAAAAUGUAAUGAAAAAAUUGAAAGUGAAGAAAGAAUGAAUAGAAAUGUGAGAAACUUUGUAACGUAAGUGGAGCAACUUCCCUCACGGAAACUGACGCACGAAUAAGGGCUCCAACCUGAGCGGCACAAUAGAAAAGACCAGCAAGUACUCGUGCCAUAUUUUUAAUGAGAUCCUCCAGCAGUGGGACUAAUUAUAUACUAUAAAUACAUGUGCAAUCAUUUAAAAAUGAAACCGCAAGUUUUAUAAAGGUUUUUCCUUUUUUUGCAGAAAAUAUUUUUAUCAAGGAAUUAUCAAGAAUUUUGUGUGAAAUUUAUCGCUGCAGAAUGAUUGAAGUGCAUUGUGACUUUGGAGAUUCAAUUAAAAGAUUAAAUCCACAUCAAAAAUGACCUUUUUCAAAAAAAAAGUGAUGCACAAAAGAAUAAUGGAGAAUUUAAUAAAUAUAUAAUCAGCACCAGAGGAGAAAAUUGAUGAUACAGAAAAAAUGAAGAAAAAUAAUGAAAAGGAAGAUAAAGAAAAAACAAAAUACUAACUCUUCAUUCAUAAAAUUCUGUAUUGAUUUUUAUGGUCUAUCCAUUAGGAUUAAUGGCUUCUAUUUAAUUUAUUGGAAACAGUCAAACCUCAAUACAGUGAAAAUGGAGAUAUCAUCAGAAAUGGAUUUACACAUUUCGGAAACUAAUGUUUAAUAGAUUGCUGAAUGAAUUGAGUCGCUUUAAAAAGGUUUUUAAUUUUUAAAUUUCAAACCUAGAUAAAUCAUUAAUAUUUUAGUAUUCAUAAUAAGAUUACUAAAUAAUAAGAAUUAUUAUUAUUUCAA
Long non-coding RNA from Leptopilina heterotoma, 1012 nucleotides. RefSeq lists it as uncharacterized. The record is from RefSeq and is a predicted model, not a curated record. Lineage: Eukaryota; Metazoa; Arthropoda; Insecta; Hymenoptera; Figitidae. The transcript is spliced from 4 exons.